This 177-nucleotide ribosomal RNA is filed under the name uncultured bacterium. RNAcentral describes it as "partial 16S ribosomal RNA". It matches the Rfam family "Bacterial small subunit ribosomal RNA", at positions 335 to 524 of the family's 1533-position model. The record is from RNAcentral. RNAcentral also lists the same sequence under 1 other name.
ACUCCUACGGGAGGCAGCAGUGGGGAAUAUUGCACAAUGGGCGCAAGCCUGAUGCAGCGACGCCGCGUGAGGGAUGACGGCCUUCGGGUUGUAAACCUCUUUCAAUAGGGACGAAGCGCAAGUGACGGUACCUAUAGAAGAAGGACCGGCCAACUACGUGCCAGCAGCCGCGGUAAU